Non-coding RNA from Ictidomys tridecemlineatus (thirteen-lined ground squirrel), 67 nucleotides. The record is from Ensembl. Lineage: Eukaryota; Metazoa; Chordata; Mammalia; Rodentia; Sciuridae.
UGAUAAUUAGUUUAAAAUAAAACAAGUGAUUUCGACUCACUAAAUUAUGGGUUACCAUAAUUAUCAA